GUGAAGAAACCCCACUUAAGCUUGUUUGAGGAAGAGGAAAAUCUGUUGCUUCAGGCAUCUGAAAAGUCCAGGGGAUAUGAGUAUCAGGUAUAGUUUGGUCUAGGCACUCAAAUAAUAACAUUAAACUCACUUCCCAUCCCUCUUCUUCUCUUUCAGCAUUUCAGCUCUUCUUUUCUCCUGAUUGCCUUCAUUCUCAGGGAAAGAUUAUCCACAUGGCAGCUUCUGGCACUAAUGCCUGUCUGAGACCAUCCUGUUACUCCCAGUAAAGCUAGGAGUGGCUAUUCUCAGAACACUGGUGUACUCCUGGAAUAAUUGCCUUUCUGGAAAUCACAUUGUAGCUUAUUCAGAAGCACUUUUAAUAGAGAUAUUUGGAAUGACCCUGGGCGGAAGUUUAUCAGAACCUGGAGCAUAGCAGCAAUACCUGGAGAUUCUAUCGAAAACAGCAAGGCCAGCACAGUGGGGAUGGUUGAGAGAAGCCCUCCUUUCUCCACUGAGGAACUUUGUGCCAAGUCACCUGCACGUCUACCCUACCUACCCCUGACCUGAACUCAGCAGGACAGCACAAAGAAAGCAUGAAGAACUUUGCUGCACUGCUUUUGGAAAAUAUGCUAACCCCUAGCAUAACCAAUCCAUCUUAAGAAUGAAACAGCAGCGAUUGAUGGAAAAGAGUUGUACAAUUCCGGGGCGCUCAAAGUGAUGGAAGAAGCUAUUGAGGAUGAUAAUGCUCAUGCUUGGAACCCUAUGUCCAAGUUGUAAGGAAGCCCAAGCAGCCCAUAAAGAGGCCCACGUUAAGAAGAACCAGGACCCACAGUCUAAGUGAACUCUCAGCUAAUAGCACCAUUUUGCCAACCAUGAGUCAAACUGGCAGCUUCAAGGACCUUGGCUGAAAUUGGUCCAUUUGGAUAUGUGUGCUUGUUUCUGCAAUGUCCUGAAUGACUGUGGGAAAGGGCUUCACAAGGCUUCAUAAGACACCUGGAUCUCAUAUCUGCUUCUGCAUUCAAUCUGUUGCACCAAGUUGUUUUGACUGAAGGGUAUGAAGAAAAACUGGCCUCAUCCAAAUAUGCGGUUGGAAAAGGGUGGAGUAUUUUAACAGCCCUUCAAAUAAUUGGUCCCAGUGAUCAAGCUUUGUCUCCAGCAUCAUUUUACCCUUUAUUCUUGGAAGGGACACUGGAGGCGACUGAUUCCAACCCCUCGACUUGAAAGUUGAAAGAUGCAAAGCACAGAGCAGGGGAUGACAUGCUCAAGGCCCCAUCACCAGUCGGAGGCAGACCUGCAUAGAACUUGGGACAUAAAUGUAGGCACACACAAAACCCAGAGACAUUCCACCGACAUUUAAAAUCAAGAAUCCUCCCUGAUAUAGUAUGACCUUGUAAAUGAUGCAAAGGGUUUGAACAAUUCAAAACAAACAAACAAACAAAAAAACAGGUCUAGGAUAAGUUUUUUCAAAAUCAUCAAAUAUAAAUUUCAACCCAAUUUUUUAAUUUCAUAAAACCAAGGUUAAAAGAGGUUGAGUGAUUAGUUAAAAGUUAUGGGCAAGUGAUGGUAACGUCAAGCCUCUAAUUCAUAUAUUUGCCAAGCUCUAGCUUUGAAUGAUAUUGUAACUCGAAAGGAAUAAUGUUGUUCUUUUUAGAAAAUAACAUGGUCAUGGUAGACCACUUGGAAAAAUAUACAUAAACAUAAGGACAAAGUGACCCAUACAUUAAAGAUAAUCACUGUUAAUAUUUUUAUUAAAUGAAAAGCAUUACAUGUAACUUUACCUAAGUUUAUCAGAAAAAAAGAAUUAAAGAGGGUCGGUAUGGUGGUUCACG
Molecule: long non-coding RNA, 1808 nt
Filed under: Homo sapiens (human)
Lineage: Eukaryota; Metazoa; Chordata; Mammalia; Primates; Hominidae
Description: HSALNT0334472
Source: RNAcentral